This 334-nucleotide unclassified non-coding RNA is filed under the name soil metagenome. RNAcentral describes it as "partial contains 5.8S ribosomal RNA, internal transcribed spacer 2, and large subunit ribosomal RNA". The stretch from base 1 to 120 matches the Rfam family "5.8S ribosomal RNA", at positions 35 to 154 of the family's 154-position model. The record is from RNAcentral.
GAUGAAGAACGCAGCGAAAUGCGAUAAGUAAUGUGAAUUGCAGAAUUCAGUGAAUCAUCGAAUCUUCGAACGCACAUUGCGCCCGCCAGUAUUCUGGCGAGCAUGCCUGUUCGAGCGUCAUUUCAACCAUCAAGCCCCAGGCUUGUGUUGGAGCCCUGCGGCUGCCGCAGCCUCCCAAAACCAGUGGCGGGCUCGCUAUCACACCGAGUGCAGUAGUUUACUCUUCGCUCAGGGCGUGUGGCGGGUGCUAGCCGUGAAACCCCCAACUUCUCAAGGUUGACCUCGGAUCAGGUAGGAAUACCCGCUGAACUUAAGCAUAUCAAUAAGCGGAGGA